CAAAGCUACACAGAGAAACCCUGUCUUA
Molecule: non-coding RNA, 28 nt
Filed under: Cricetulus griseus (Chinese hamster)
Lineage: Eukaryota; Metazoa; Chordata; Mammalia; Rodentia; Cricetidae
Source: RNAcentral